Molecule: ribosomal RNA, 494 nt
Filed under: uncultured eukaryote
Lineage: Eukaryota
Description: bacterial SSU rRNA
Rfam family: Eukaryotic small subunit ribosomal RNA
Source: RNAcentral
GCCGAAUGAGUUUCUGACCUAUCAACUCGAGACGGCGGGGUAGAGGCCCGCCGCGGUAACGACGGGUAACGGGGAAUCAGGGUUCGAUUCCGGAGAGGGAGCCCGAGAAACGGCUACCACUUCCAAGGAAGGCAGCAGGCGCGCAACUUACCCUAAUCUCGAUUCGAGGAGGUAGUGACAAGAAAUACCGAUGCGGGACCCUACGGGUGCCGCGUUCGGAAUGAGUACGAUUCGAACCACCUAACGAGGAACGAUCGGAGGGCAAGUCUGGUGCCAGCAGCCGCGGUAAUUCCAGCUCCAAUAGCGUACGUUAAAGUUGCUGCAGUUAAAAAGCUCGUAGUUGAACGUUCGGGUUCCGCGGGACGGGGCCGCCCCGCGAGGGACGGCGCCGCCCCGGGGCUCGUGAUAUCUUAUCUCGCCGCCCGUCGCGAGCGGACGGAGGGAUGGAUGAGGUUACCUGGAAAAAAUCGGGGCGAUCUAGGCGGGCGAACCUC